GACAGAGGGUGCAGACGUUGUUCGGAAUUACUGGGCGUAAAGCGUGCGUAGUCGGUUAUCUAAGUCGGGUGUGAAAUCCCCGGGCUCAACCUGGGAAUUGCAUUCGAUACUGGAUAGCUAGAGUUCGGCAGAGGGAAGCGGAAUUUCGGGUGUAGCGGUGAAAUGCGUAGAUAUCCGAAGGAACAUCAGUGGCGAAAGCGGCUUCCUGGACCAGAACUGACGAUCAGGCACGAAAGCGUGGGGAGCAAACAGG
This 253-nucleotide ribosomal RNA is filed under the name uncultured bacterium. RNAcentral's name for it is "partial 16S ribosomal RNA". It matches the Rfam family "Bacterial small subunit ribosomal RNA", at positions 524 to 776 of the family's 1533-position model. The record is from RNAcentral.